This 463-nucleotide ribosomal RNA is filed under the name uncultured bacterium. Its description in RNAcentral is "partial 16S ribosomal RNA". It matches the Rfam family "Bacterial small subunit ribosomal RNA", at positions 28 to 506 of the family's 1533-position model. The record is from RNAcentral.
GACGAACGCUGGCGGCGUGCUUAACACAUGCAAGUCGAACGGAAAGGCCCUGCUUGCAGGGUACUCGAGUGGCGAACGGGUGAGUAACACGUGGGUGAUCUGCCCUGCACUUCGGGAUAAGCCUGGGAAACUGGGUCUAAUACCGGAUAGGAGCCAUUUUUAGUGUGAUGGUUGGAAAGUUUUUUCGGUGUAGGAUGAGCUCGCGGCCUAUCAGCUUGUUGGUGGGGUAAUGGCCUACCAAGGCGGCGACGGGUAGCCGGCCUGAGAGGGUGGGCGGCCACAUUGGGACUGAGAUACGGCCCAGACUCCUACGGGAGGCAGCAGUGGGGAAUAUUGCACAAUGGGCGCAAGCCUGAUGCAGCGACGCCGCGUGGGGGAUGACGGCCUUCGGGUUGUAAACUCCUUUCGCUAGGGACGAAGCUUUUGUGACGGUACCUAGAUAAGAAGCACCGGCUAACUACGU